GGUGGGUUGGCGAAGUGGUAACGCUGCGGUCUGCAAAACCGCCACUCGUGAGUUCGAAUCUCACACCCACCU
This 72-nucleotide transfer RNA is filed under the name Cyanobacteria bacterium RM1_2_2. RNAcentral's name for it is "tRNA-Cys". It matches the Rfam family "tRNA". Rfam says of the family: Transfer RNA (tRNA) molecules are approximately 80 nucleotides in length. Their secondary structure includes four short double-helical elements and three loops (D, anti-codon, and T loops). Lineage: Bacteria; Bacillati; Cyanobacteriota. The record is from RNAcentral.